This 406-nucleotide ribosomal RNA is filed under the name uncultured bacterium. Its description in RNAcentral is "partial 16S ribosomal RNA". It matches the Rfam family "Bacterial small subunit ribosomal RNA", at positions 28 to 526 of the family's 1533-position model. The record is from RNAcentral.
GAUGAACGCUAGCUACAGGCUUAACACAUGCAAGUCGAGGGACCGGCGCACGGGUGAGUAACACGUAUCCAACCUGCCCUUUACUCGGUGAUAGCCUUUCGAAAGAAAGAUUAAUACCCGAUAUAAAGGAUGGGGAUGCGUUCCAUUAGUUUGUUGGUGAGGUAACGGCUCACCAAGCCUUCGAUGGAUAGGGGUUCUGAGAGGAAGGUCCCCCGGAAUGGAGCUGAGACACGGUCCAAAAUCGUACGGGAGGCAGCAGUUAGGAAUAUUGGGCAAUGGGCGCUAGCCUGAACCAGCCAAGUAGCGUGAAGGAUGAAGGGUUAUGGGUCUUAAACUUCUGUUAUAGAAGAAUAUGUAUUAUAUGAAUAAGGAUCGGCUAACUCCGUGCCAGCCGCCGCGGUAAUUC